CAUGCAGUCGAGCGGUAGAGAGAAGCUUGCUUCUCUUGAGAGCGGCGGACGGGUGAGUAAUGCCUAGGAAUCUGCCUGGUAGUGGGGGAUAACGUUCGGAAACGGACGCUAAUACCGCAUACGUCCUACGGGAGAAAGCAGGGGACCUUCGGGCCUUGCGCUAUCAGAUGAGCCUAGGUCGGAUUAGCUAGUUGGUGAGGUAAUGGCUCACCAAGGCGACGAUCCGUAACUGGUCUGAGAGGAUGAUCAGUCACACUGGAACUGAGACACGGUCCAGACUCCUACGGGAGGCAGCAGUGGGGAAUAUUGGACAAUGGGCGAAAGCCUGAUCCAGCCAUGCCGCGUGUGUGAAGAAGGUCUUCGGAUUGUAAAGCACUUUAAGUUGGGAGGAAGGGCAUUAACCUAAUACGUUAGUGUUUUGACGUUACCGACAGAAUAAGCACCGGCUAACUCUGUGCCAGCAGCCGCGGUAAUACAGAGGGUGCAAGCGUUAAUCGGAAUUACUGGGCGUAAAGCGCGCGUAGGUGGUUUGUUAAGUUGGAUGUGAAAUCCCCGGGCUCAACCUGGGAACUGCAUUCAAAACUGACUGACUAGAGUAUGGUAGAGGGUGGUGGAAUUUCCUGUGUAGCGGUGAAAUGCGUAGAUAUAGGAAGGAACACCAGUGGCGAAGGCGACCACCUGGACUAAUACUGACACUGAGGUGCGAAAGCGUGGGGAGCAAACAGGAUUAGAUACCCUGGUAGUCCACGCCGUAAACGAUGUCAACUAGCCGUUGGGAGCCUUGAGCUCUUAGUGGCGCAGCUAACGCAUUAAGUUGACCGCCUGGGGAGUACGGCCGCAAGGUUAAAACUCAAAUGAAUUGACGGGGGCCCGCACAAGCGGUGGAGCAUGUGGUUU
This 897-nucleotide ribosomal RNA is filed under the name Pseudomonas fluorescens. RNAcentral's name for it is "bacterial SSU rRNA". It matches the Rfam family "Bacterial small subunit ribosomal RNA", at positions 54 to 947 of the family's 1533-position model. The record is from RNAcentral. Lineage: Bacteria; Pseudomonadati; Pseudomonadota; Gammaproteobacteria; Pseudomonadales; Pseudomonadaceae.